UACGGGGGGGGGCAAGCGUUGUUCGGAAUUACUGGGCGUAAAGGGCUCGUAGGUGGCCAACUAAGUCAGACGUGAAAUCCCUCGGCUUAACCGGGGAACUGCGUCUGAUACUGGACGGCUUGAGUUUGGGAGAGGGACGCGGAAUUCCAGGUGUAGCGGUGAAAUGCGUAGAUAUCUGGAGGAACACCGGUGGCGAAGGCGGCAUCCUGGACCGGUAUUGACGCUGAGGCGCGAAAGCUAGGGGAGCAAACGGG
Molecule: ribosomal RNA, 254 nt
Filed under: uncultured bacterium
Lineage: Bacteria
Description: partial 16S ribosomal RNA
Rfam family: Bacterial small subunit ribosomal RNA
Source: RNAcentral